RNAcentral lists this ribosomal RNA (301 nucleotides) under uncultured bacterium. Its description in RNAcentral is "partial 16S ribosomal RNA". It matches the Rfam family "Bacterial small subunit ribosomal RNA", at positions 509 to 807 of the family's 1533-position model. The record is from RNAcentral.
CAGCAGCCGCGGUAAUACGAAGGGUGCAAGCGUUACUCGGAAUUACUGGGCGUAAAGCGUGCGUAGGUGGUGGUUUAAGUCCGUUGUGAAAGCCCUGGGCUCAACCUGGGAAUUGCAGUGGAUACUGGGUCACUAGAGUGUGGUAGAGGAUAGUGGAAUUUCCGGUGUAGCAGUGAAAUGCGUAGAGAUCGGAAGGAACAUCUGUGGCGAAGGCGACUAUCUGGGCCAACACUGACACUGAGGCACGAAAGCGUGGGGAGCAAACAGGGUUAGAUACCCCCGUAGUCCCUGUCUCUUAUAC